RNAcentral lists this ribosomal RNA (184 nucleotides) under Toxoplasma gondii ME49. Its description in RNAcentral is "Toxoplasma gondii rRNA TGME49_458070". It matches the Rfam family "Eukaryotic small subunit ribosomal RNA", at positions 24 to 210 of the family's 1831-position model. The record is from RNAcentral. Lineage: Eukaryota; Apicomplexa; Conoidasida; Eucoccidiorida; Sarcocystidae.
UCAUAUGCUUGUCUUAAAGAUUAAGCCAUGCAUGUCUAAGUAUAAGCUUUUAUACGGCUAAACUGCGAAUGGCUCAUUAAAACAGUUAUAGUUUUAUUUGAUGGUCUUUACUACAUGGAUAACCGUGGUAUUCUAUGGCUAAUACAUGCGCACAUGCCUCUUCCCCUGGAAGGGCAGUGUUUAU